This 798-nucleotide small RNA is filed under the name Vigna angularis var. angularis. Its description in RNAcentral is "Non-protein coding transcript". The record is from RNAcentral. Lineage: Eukaryota; Viridiplantae; Streptophyta; Magnoliopsida; Fabales; Fabaceae.
AUUCAAAGCAAUGUUUUAAGGAUCGGUGGAGACAGGGUAGCUUGAAGAAUCGCAGACAUCUGUGAGUCAUCUUUAGUGAUUCUUGCUAAAGCGAUUUCUCAAUAGCAGACAUUCAUCGCAAACACUUGAGCAGCUAUGGGUAUAAUUAGAAGUUGCUUCUCUUUCAUAGCAGGGACAGUAUGUGGGGUUUAUUUGGCUCAGAAUUAUCAAGUUCCUAAUAUCAUGAAGUUUGCUGACACUGCCUUGUUCAUGGCAAAAGUUGUGGAGGAAAAAUACCGCAAGCCCAAGAAGAGGGAUGAUGAUGAUGAUGUUUAGUUUGUACUUGGUGCCAUAUUGGAAUCAGAUUCUUGUUUUGUUUUUUCCUUAUAGAAAUCCGUGAUUAUUGGAUCGAAUACCUCAAUUAUAAGAUUUUGGAAAACAUAAAUUGGAAGAUUUUUAUGGAAGCAUAGCAGUUAUAUCCUCAUUAUUUUGUCCUUUCUAAGGAAACAUUCGCAUUCUUCCGCAGUCUUCCUGAUCUGACUCUUGCACUGAGACACAGUUGAUAGGUAUCAUAUACCCAGUUUCUUAAAUCUUGGGAACUAGGAUAAUAAGAUAGCUCCAGGGCAGAAAUCUGUUGUUCAUGGUCAUGAGAGUUGUAUUACCGUUUAUGGGCUUGAUAACAAAUAUUUUUGGUGUGCAUUUGAGUUUCUGGUUUAACUAGUUAACAUGAUGUCCCUACUAUGGUGAACUCUGAUUUUUCAUUUACGCUUAUGCAUUCCAAUGCAUACAGUAACAAGAGUUAAUUGUUAUUGUUGUUUA